CCUACGGGAGGCAGCAGUGGGGAAUCUUGCGCAAUGGGCGAAAGCCUGACGCAGCAACGCCGCGUGCGGGAAGAAGGCCUUCGGGUUGUAAACCGCUUUCAGCAGGAACGAAAAUGACGGUACCUGCAGAAGAAGGUGCGGCCAACUAUGUGCCAGCAGCCGCGGUGAUACAUAGGCACCAAGCGUUGUCCGGAUUUAUUGGGCGUAAAGAGCUCGUAGGCGGUUCAGUCAGUCGGGUGUGAAAACUCUGGGCUUAACCCAGAGCCUGCACCCGAUACUGCUGUGACUAGAGUUCGGUAGGGGAGCGGGGAAUUCCUGGUGUAGCGGUGAAAUGCGCAGAUAUCAGGAGGAACACCGAUGGCGAAGGCACCGCUCUGGGCCGAAACUGACGCUGAGGAGCGAAAGCAUGGGUAGCAAACAGGAUUAGAUACCCUGGUAGUCCAUGCCGUAAACGUUGGGCACUAGGUGUGGGUUCCAAUCAACGGAAUCCGCGCCGUCGCUAACGCAUUAAGUGCCCCGCCUGGGGGAGGUACGGUCGCGAGAACUAAACUACAAAGAAGUAGACGGCGUGAGACGUGCCGACGGACGACGACGAGGGAGGAGG
RNAcentral lists this ribosomal RNA (604 nucleotides) under uncultured bacterium. RNAcentral describes it as "bacterial SSU rRNA". It matches the Rfam family "Bacterial small subunit ribosomal RNA", at positions 338 to 951 of the family's 1533-position model. The record is from RNAcentral.